RNAcentral lists this unclassified non-coding RNA (272 nucleotides) under Daphnia pulicaria. RNAcentral describes it as "uncharacterized LOC124350092, transcript variant X1". The record is from RNAcentral. Lineage: Eukaryota; Metazoa; Arthropoda; Branchiopoda; Diplostraca; Daphniidae.
AAAUUCCAUUUUCCAACAGGUUCAGUCUGCCACUUGAUGACGCACCGAACGUGUGGAGCUCCUCCCAUUUGAUUUGGAUUCCCAAAAGAAUUCUCGUCAAGGGCGCCAACACAUGAAACAUUGAAACUACUUCCGAGAAUAACUGCAUCUACAUUUACAUCUACAUCUGGUAGUAUUUGUCAACGUCUCCUCAACAGCAUGGCUACCAGCUACCUCAUCAAAUCUUCCAGCUCAGCUCAGACGUGCACCAAUAAGGUGAAGAAGAAUGUUUC